CGGCGCAUCAGCGACUGGCCGCGAGCGAUUGACCGCGUAAGCGAGUGACCGCGAAGAGCGCGGGGCCGCGAGCAAAUUGGCGCGAAGGAGAUGGCCGCGAAGCGAGUGCUCGUGAAGAAGGCCAACAGUAGUAACGUCCGCGUGACAGUCAGCGAACGUCCGCGAGGCCAUAAGUACGUCAAUGAACGCUCGCAAGGAACAUUAUCACAAGAGGCAGAGCUCGCUGAGUGCACUUGGCCUAAAUCUCGUCAGCGAGAUAAGAUCCGGCGAAGCACUGCGCCAGAAUUUUUCCAACAAGAUUCACUCCGAAGCGAAGUCGAUCUAAAGGCCAGCGAGUGGUCUUCAGCGGACAACCUUCUGCCAAUCACUGUGGCAGACGCUGAGGUAGAACCAAGCGGAAGGCUUUCAAGCGAAUUCCGGAAGAGUUCCUCCGUCGGCGAGGAGGAGACAAAGUCGAACUGUAGGAGCCUCCAUA
Molecule: long non-coding RNA, 475 nt
Filed under: Rosa chinensis
Lineage: Eukaryota; Viridiplantae; Streptophyta; Magnoliopsida; Rosales; Rosaceae
Description: sRNA RchiOBHm_Chr1g0326681
Source: RNAcentral